AUACGUAGGUGACAAGCGUUAUCCGGAUUUACUGGGCGUAAAGGGCGUGUAGGCGGUCGUGCAAGUCAGAAGUGAAAUUCCUGAGCUCAACUCGGGCGCUGCUUCUGAAACUGCAGGACUUGAGUGCUGGAGGGGAUAGCGGAAUUCCUAGUGGAGCGGUAAAAUGCGCAGAUAUUAGGAAGAACACCGGUGGCGAAGGCGGCUAUCUGGACAGUAACUGACGCUGAGGCGCGAAAGCGUGGGGAGCAAACAGGAUUAGAUCCCCUGGUAGUCCACGCCGUAAACGAUGAAUACUAGGUGUAGGGGGUAUCGACUCCCUCUGUGCCGCAGUUAACACAAUAAGUAUUCCGCCUGGGGAGUACGGCCGCAAGGUUGAAACUCAAAUGAAUUGGCGGGG
Molecule: ribosomal RNA, 397 nt
Filed under: uncultured bacterium
Lineage: Bacteria
Description: partial 16S ribosomal RNA
Rfam family: Bacterial small subunit ribosomal RNA
Source: RNAcentral